AGGACUAACGCUGGCGGAGUGCCUAACACAUGCAAGUCGAACGAGAGUAGCAAUACUCUAGCGGCGAACGGGUGAGUAACACGUGGGUAAUCAACCCCUGGCACCGGGAUAGCCCGAGGAAACUCGGAUUAAUACCGGAUGGCCCAACAGCUCUUCGGGGCGGUUGGAAAAGGUAGCUUCGGCCUCCGGCCAAGGACGAGCCCGCGGCGGAUUAGCUUGUUGGUGAGGUAACGGCCCACAAGGCGACGACGGGUAGCCGGCCUGAGAGGGCGAUCGGCCACACUGGGACUGAGACACGGCCCAGACUCCUACGGGAGGCAGCAGUGGGGAAUAUUGCACAAUGGGCGCAAGCCUGAUGCAGCGACGCCGCGUGGGGGAUGAAGGCCUUCGGGUUGUAAACCCCUUUCACCAGGAGCGAAUUCAGACGGUACCUGGGGAAGAAGCGCCGGCUAACUACGUGCCAGCAGCCGC
This 471-nucleotide ribosomal RNA is filed under the name uncultured bacterium. RNAcentral's name for it is "SSU rRNA". It matches the Rfam family "Bacterial small subunit ribosomal RNA", at positions 26 to 518 of the family's 1533-position model. The record is from RNAcentral.